Small nucleolar RNA from Mus spicilegus (steppe mouse), 130 nucleotides. Lineage: Eukaryota; Metazoa; Chordata; Mammalia; Rodentia; Muridae. The record is from Ensembl.
CCUGCCCCUGAAAGCAUUGCAGGGCUGGCUACAGUGUCACAUGUGCAUCAGUAGGUAGCAGAGGAGAGAGGCUAUAUCUACUCUCAGUGUUCUGACCCGUGAACAUCUGAAUGAUCAGUAGCCUUAUACU